AUGCAUGAGCCUAGAAGUGGACAUCUUGACGCAGUACAUAGAAUCUUGAGAUACUUGAAAGGUUCUCCUGGGAAAGGACUGUUGUUCAAGAGUUAUGGACACCUUGUUGUAGAUGGUUAUUGUAAUGUUGAUUGGGCUAGCUGUCUGGAUGACAGGAGAUCAACUUCAGGCUAUUGUGUCUUUGUAGAAGGAAAUCUAGUAUCUUGGAGAAGCAAGAAACAACCUAUUGUUUCCAAAUCAACUGCAGAGGUUGAAUACAGAGCCAUGUCCAAGGGACCGAGUGAGAUGUUGUGGACCAGAAAUCUAUUAGCAGAAUUGAAGAUAUUGAAGACAAGUUGUAUGAAUGUGUGGUGUGAUAACAAAUCAGCAAUCAACAUAGCACAUAAUCCAGUGCAGCAUGAUAGAACCAAGCAUGUGGAAAUAGACAUAUUCUUCAUCAAAGAAAAGCUUGACGCUAGGAUCAUCAAGAUUGAGCAUGUGAGUUCUGGGCAACAGAUUGCAGACUGUUUGACUAAAGGAUUGGGAACUAAAGAAUGCAAUCUAGCACGUGACAAGAUAGGGAUGAUAGAUAUCUAUCACCCCUCUUGA
RNAcentral lists this ribosomal RNA (588 nucleotides) under Triticum aestivum (bread wheat). RNAcentral's name for it is "partial small subunit ribosomal RNA". Lineage: Eukaryota; Viridiplantae; Streptophyta; Magnoliopsida; Poales; Poaceae. The record is from RNAcentral.